GCGGAGGAGCGGAGGAGCGGAGGAGCUGAAGCCCCGGAAGUGCUCAGGGCCGGGCCAUGGCCGCACAGCGACAUGGCGGCGCCCGCGGAGGAGGAGGUUGCUCCAGGAAGUGCAGAUGGUUGGUGAAGGCUGUGGUUUCAGGGAGCUCAUCUUUCGUCCUGAAAAGGGGACUUAGGAUGUCGGUGGUACAUGGUCUGACAGUGGGAUGGCUUGUGGAUCAUCUCUCUUUCAUCAACCAGUGUGGCUAUGAGAUCUGUGACUCCUUUGCACACCCUGGUGGUGUCAUUCACAGUACUUCUGUCACAUCUACUGAAGACUGUUACAGAUUUUCUACUUUUGCUGCCAUGCCCUCAUCAAGCGAUGGUCCUCCUUUUGAUCCCGGAGAUGCUGUAGAAGCAGAAAGUAAAAGAGCAAAAAUGAGAUAUGUGUUUUGGGAGGAGUUCUUGGAUAUUCCUAAGCCCUAUAUAGCUGCAGCUUGUGAGGAGCAGCUGUGUCCUGCCCUCAGGUGAGUCAGGCAGAAGUAAAGGCCAACAACAACGGAGAGGAAUACCAAGAAGGAGCAAAGAGUGACACUGGAGAUUCUCUUGGCACUGCUAGGAAGAAAGGUGAAAGGAAAUGUGUAUUCAACCAAGGUGAACUGGAUGCUUUGGAAUACCAUUCAAAUGUAAGUUGGAAAAAAUGUAUAUUUUGCAAGUAAAAGCUACUUGACUUUGGGCAUGUGCAGAGUGGAGGGCAUGGUUGCAAACAAAUUCUGUUUUUGUAGCUUGUUCCACUGGUGCAAAGAAGGAAAGGGAAAGGAAGGUCAAUCUCUCCAAUCCUUACUUGAAUUCAUGCUUACAGAGUAGAUCUUUUAUGUAGAUAGAUGUGAAAUUGCAUCUGAGACAUUACAGAGAGCUGGAAGCUGCAUCCACAAAGUAACUUGUACUGCUAUAGAUAACUGAACAUUAUGAUGUGAUGAGUUGAAUAUUAGGAAGUGAUCGAUUUGGUAUUGGCAGCAUAAUCCAUUCUGAAGAUCAGCUCCUCAGCAUCAGGACACUGUGCUGAGUUACUCAAAGCUUUUGGGACCUUUGAAGAAAAUGUGCUUCAAAGUAUCUUAUUCUGCAAUUGAAAAAAAAAACAACCCAACUUUUCUCUAACAUUUUAUAUUGUCCUACUAAAGGAUCAUGCAUUAAUUUGAAUUCAAAUCUAUGUGCUUAUGUCCGUGAUGUGCUGGUGAAGAUACAGCUGAUUAACACUGAAGCAUAAUAGUGAAUCGUAGAAAUACAAUCUGUAGGUAAUGUUUGAUGUAUUUUACUGCUUUCCAAAACAGUGAUGUGAGCCUGAACUGGGAGCAACACUUGCUUUCUUUCCUUUGGCAAAGAUGUUAGUCAUAUUGGGCUUUAUUCUUAAAUCUGUUCUGCUUGAACUACAUUUAGAUGAUUAUGCUUUUUUCCUUUUACACGGCAGCAAUCUUGUAGUAAACAUUUGCAGCUUGCUGAUACAGUGUAGAGGUCCUGUGAUUAUUUUUGUGAGUAAGCUGUGCAUGUGCAAAACCACCAUAAAGGAAAAAACUCUGAAGUUCAGCAUGAAGUUCAACAUGAGUAUGAAAACUUCAGGGCAAAAAUAAAAUCAAUCAACAGUAGAAAUAAGGAAAGAAAUGAAGUCUUGAUGGCUUGUUUAACUUCAAAUGAUAUUUGGUAAAUAUGUGGAAAAGACAGUGUUUGGAAAAAUCUGUGACCCCAGUUAGCCUCUUCUAUCAUUCACAGAUUAGGAAGUAGUAUUGGGUUUUUACUAUGUUUGUGUUGUUGAAGGUUAUAGCUCUGCAAGUCAACCCAGAUUAUUUUGGCAUGUAUUUGUUUCUAUAGAGUCAUUGUCAAAAAACCCAAAGAAGCCAAAUUUUGUUUCUGCAAGUGAAUCUAUGAAUUUUAGCUAUUGAAUCCGUUUAUGAAUUUCAGUCAGUGGCAACAGUACAAAAUAUGCUAAAUUCCUUCAGUAGCCAUUUGUUAAAAUUCCUGCUUCAAUAGCUUGAUAGACAGGAGACUUUGUCCACUUUGUCCACCUGUGAGUUCACGCAUGCAUGUAAGAGGGUGUCGUUUCUAAAGAUAUAUUCAUUAAUUCUGUUGAAACAGUAUGAACUCCUCUUAUCACAAACCCAGGUACUAAAAAUUUAUGACUGUACUCUCUGAUAUCUAGAUGUGGCACUAUUAUUAAAAAAAAAAUUCUUCCCCUGUCACUAAUCUGGGAAUUGUAAUAAAGCAUAUUUUGUAAAACUC
Non-coding RNA from Cyanistes caeruleus (blue tit), 2252 nucleotides. The record is from RefSeq and is a predicted model, not a curated record. Lineage: Eukaryota; Metazoa; Chordata; Aves; Passeriformes; Paridae.